RNAcentral lists this long non-coding RNA (492 nucleotides) under Mytilus galloprovincialis (Mediterranean mussel). Lineage: Eukaryota; Metazoa; Mollusca; Bivalvia; Mytilida; Mytilidae. The record is from RNAcentral.
CGAAGUCAGUUGAUUCAGAAGCUUGGAUGGUUAGUUCAUGUGAUGUAAAUUUCAUUAGAACAACCUAAUUCAUAGCGAAGGUUGUAAGAAAAACAGCUGACUUAGAAGGGUAAAGUUAAACUUAAAUGUUCCACAUUUUAUUUCAUGAAAAUCAGCAUUUUUCAGGGUCUAAAGUCAAAAGUGACUACUGUCCACAGACACAGCCAUCAGCUGAUCAUGAUCAUCACUUGUCUCUCCACCAUGGUCUUUAUUUUUGUCCCUCAUAAAUUUAAUAUGUCCUUGGGAAGGUCUACUUAACUGUUACCAUGUAGUUGACAUUCCCGUGGAUAGAAACAAGUGCCUGUUCUUCUGGAAUACAGUUACCCAAACACAUUUACAGUGGCAAUGAAAAUCAUUUAUAAUGCAUGUCAUGAGCUGAUGAGUGGUACCUGGAACAUUGUCGAAUGACCGAAUAACACUGCUAAUAUCCGAAUAACACUUGUAAUAACCGAA